GAUGAACGCUGGCGGCGUGCCUAAUACAUGCAAGUCGAGCGAACGGACGAGAAGCUUGCUUCUCUGAUGUUAGCGGCGGACGGGUGAGUAACACGUGGAUAACCUACCUAUAAGACUGGGAUAACUUCGGGAAACCGGAGCUAAUACUGGAUGAUAUUUUGUACCGCAUGGUUCAAAAGUGAAAGACGGUCUUGCUGUCACUUAUAGAUGGAUCCGCGCUGCAUUAGCUAGUUGGUAAGGUAACGGCUUACCAAGGCAACGAUGCAUAGCCGACCUGAGAGGGUGAUCGGCCACACUGGAACUGAGACACGGUCCAGACUCCUACGGGAGGCAGCAGUAGGGAAUCUUCCGCAAUGGGCGAAAGCCUGACGGAGCAACGCCGCGUGAGUGAUGAAGGUCUUCGGAUCGUAAAACUCUGUUAUUAGGGAAGAACAUAUGUGUAAGUAACUGUGCACAUCUUGACGGUACCUAAUCAGAAAGCCACGGCUAACUACGUG
RNAcentral lists this ribosomal RNA (497 nucleotides) under uncultured bacterium. RNAcentral's name for it is "partial 16S ribosomal RNA". It matches the Rfam family "Bacterial small subunit ribosomal RNA", at positions 28 to 507 of the family's 1533-position model. The record is from RNAcentral.